UACAGCUUUGUCUUUGGAUCUACCAUGAAGGUUUGUUCAUGAUCAGCAUGGCAGGAAAUGUGGAGGAAAACAUGAUGGCAGGCAGGCAUGGCAUGGCAUGGCACUUUCACCUAGUGCCAUACCUCCCCCAACAAGGCCACACCUCCUAAUCCUUCCUGAGCAGUCUAUCAGGGCCAAGAUGGGACUUGGACCAGGAAUAGUUAUGGACACACUCAACAUGGACUUCUUUGCAAGAAGGAGCAUUGCCCCGCCUGCCCACCAGUGUGCCUUUCCCACGGCGUUCUCUGGUGAACACAGAAAACCCAGGUCACCAGCAUCCACAAGGCCAGUGUCAUGUUUCCAGGGGAUGUGGAGGAAGUGGGCAAGCAGUAAUUGGAGGUUCUCAUAUAGCAAAAGCCAAAGAAAUCCUUCGAAUAUAUUCAUCAUGGGUGAAUCACCAGAAGGUUCUAUGACACAGAGAGAAUCUUGGCCUUUCUUCCUGGGAAUCUUAAUGGGAUUCUCCUCAGGAUUGUGCGUUUGCUUGGUUUUCUCUCUGUAUACUUAACGAAUUUACAGAGCCAUUUUGUAGUGUGACAACUCGGGGACUGUGAACCGGGAGGGCGAGGGAAGACACAGCGCCCAGAGGAAAGUGUGUGCUUCUAGAACAAUUACUCUGAGGCCCUAGCACCUUUAGGAAUCUGCACUUAUUGUUAUUUAAACUAAAUUUCCCCUCAAUGUCUGAGUUUAUGUACAUGUAUAUAUAUGAGUAAUGCUUCUUAAUCAUUCCCGCUGAAGUAUUUCUAAUAGCAGAAGGGUUGACCUACGCUUUGCCCCUGACACCACACUCUCCUGAUGUUCAUGAUUGUACAAAACAAACAAACAAACAAACUAACUAACUAACUAACUAAAUAACACCAAACCAAAAAAACCUAAAACCCUGCUCCUGUACAUUUUCAAAGUCUUCUAUUUCAGCUUUAAAAAUCCACACUGGGCCCAUGUUGGGCUCUAGAAUGUAAAUUGCCCCAGCACUGGGUUGAAGGAUUGCUGUUUCUUCCGAGAUGUCACUCCUCCAGGUUGUCUAUUUAGGGCUCUGGAUUCCCAGAUGAAGUCAGAACCCUCGGGGUCAUAGCUCUCGGGGUGUAUAUUCAUGGGUAAACAGGCUAGUGUGCACACGUGUGCUUGUAUUUACAGAGGCUGGAAGACAGUGGUGAAUGUCUUCCCGGGAGCACCCCGUGUUCUGAGACAGAGCAUCCCGCUGGCCUGGAGCUCAUCAAGUCAGAGGCUGGCUGACUAACAAGCUCAGGGGCAGAGCUCUUCACGGUUUACUUACUGUAGCACAGCUAAGGAAGCAGUCUGUGUCCUAAAUGUCUGAUGUCUGAUAUUCUCGCAAAUAUAAAGGGACAUGCUGAAAUCAGCUUAACGGAUUAUGAUAAGGGCAAGUGACACAGUAGAGGGGAUGGGCAUGUAUAAUUUUAACCCGAUAGAAGGUUUAUAAAACACGGACGUCUUGAAUGAAGGGAAAAAGAAACAGAACAUGACAACAUACAAUCACUAUGUCACUCUUCUGUAAAUACAGAAGUAGAGUCUGUGAAGACAUUCUGGCUCAUCAGUGAUCUUACUGGCGGUAAUGUUCGUACUAUCAGCCUGGGUCUAUUGUGUAUCAUAACAAAAUGAUGUAGGACACAGGGAAAUGUACUUCUGACCUCCGCCUUCCAAAGGCAUAAUCGAUUGACAGCCCAAACUUAGAUCUUCUGGAUCUACCUCCCCCCCCCCCCCCGGGCUGGGCUACCACUGCAUAGAGGCCACGUCCCACCCGGCUGCUAUCAGCCACCAGUGAGCACAGAGGGAGCUGGACUGCAGAGCUAUUCCCGUUGGCCUUAGGACAUGUACCUCAGGCAGCCUUGGCUGAAGGAGUCUCCCCUUGUCUAGAAAAAAGCAGUCUAUACACUCAGCCACAGUCUGAGGCUCUGCCUACUCAGCCCCUUUGCUUUUCCAGUUAGUUUUGUGAGACUUGCCUUGUAUCCCUGUGAUGCUGGCCCCCUUUCCUUUCCGUGGCCCAGACUUCCCGUCCAAAACCUAGUGCAUGUUUAAUGCUGCCUUGAUGCUUGCUUCUCUGAAGGCCUGAACUAAGAUUAAAACAAGUGGGCAAUUAUGAGAUUUUCUAAUUCCUACAAUUCUAAUUGUGAAGGAAAGAGCCUCUGCUAUAGGAGAAAGGAAGAUAAGCUAGAAGCCAAACUCCACAUGGGUGGCCAGAAGUAUCACAUGACAUACACUGUCCAAGUUUGCUUUCUGUUGCCAAGAUAACGCCAAAAUCAGAAGAAACUUAGGAAGUUUGAACGACGAACAUUCCCAUAGUCUCAGGCAUAUGAACACUUGCACCGAAGUUUGUGGCACCGUUUGGAGAGGCUUCGGAGGUGUGGCCUUGCUGAAGGAAGUAUGGAGGAUGUUGUGGUGGGCUUUGAGAGCUUCACCUCUCACCCACUCCCAGGUUGUUCUUGGCUGCAUGUUUAAUAGUCAAGGUGUGGACUGUCAUCAUGCUGCUGUGGUCACCAUGCCUGCCUCUUCCCAGUGAUGGUGAUGGAUUCUUAUCUCUCCAGGACCAUAAGCUCACAUAAACCCUUCGGCUAUAAGUUGCCUUGGUCACGGUGUUUUUAAUCAUUGUAAUACAAAAGUAGCUGUUGCAGAAAGGAAAGGGUUUAUUUUGGCCUAUACAAGCCAUUAGUGACAGAAAUCAGGACAGGAACUGAGGCAAAAACCAUGGAAGAAUGCUGCUUACUGGCUUGCUCCCUCUGUUCUGUGAUCAGCCUGCUUUCUUAUACAACUCAAAAAUAACACCCAAAAUGGUCCGGCCCUCCCUCAUCAAUCAACAAUAAUUCCCUACAGACAUGGUCACAGGCCAAUCUGAUGAGGGCAAUCCCUCAACUGAGCCUCCCUCAUCUUGGUUGUGUCAAGCUGGCAAUAAGAACUACCCAGUAGAGUGAUUUUCUUUCUUUAAAUCAUGGUGGCUUCUGCCAUGCUCUUUUGAGUCACCUUCUCUUAAGGAAGCCAGCUGCCAUGUCACUAGGACAUUCAAAUAACCUUGUGGGAAGGUCCACGAGGUCCUGCCAACAGCCAGCAUCAACUGGCUCAGAUUAGGGGGCUAAUCUUCCAGUCCUGCCAAGCCUUCAGAUAACUGCAGCCUGGCUGAUCACAACCUCACAGGAGACCCUAAUUUAAACCAUCCACAUAUGCCAGUCUGGGAUUCUUGGCCCAUGGGAACUAUUGUUUGAGGCAAUAGUGUUUUAGAAAAUUAUACCUCGCCAGGCGGUGAUGGCUCAAGGCUCAAGAAGCAGAGGCAGGAAGAUCUCUGUGAGUCUGAGGCCAGCCUCGUCUAUAGAGUUCCAAGACAGCCAAGGCUACACAGAGAAACCCUAUCUUGACAAACCAAAUAAAUAAAGUGUGCCUUGAAGUAAUUUGUUAUAUAAUACCAGACACUCAUAUACACACCUUAAAAUAAAAUAAAUAUUUUUUUUAUGUCUAAAACCAAUGUUUAUCCAGUCAAAGUGAGCUCCACUAGAGUUCCCACUGUGAUGUGGAGAUAUCAUUUCUCUCUAAAGGAAACCUUUAUGAAACUUGUAUGUAAUGUGGAUGGGAAAAACAGUUCUAUAUGAAUACUGUUCAAGUUAUAAGUGAAGAACAAAUAGCAGGAUUUGGAUAUUACUGUUUGUGACCCCCAACGAGUUAAUGAGGCUAAGCGCUAGCUAGGACUUUUGAUUUCCCCAAGAGUGACAAGUGGAUAUUGUGUGCCUCUUGAUGGGAGAGAAACAUAGCUGUAGUCUUGCCAAUGAGGUCAAAUUGAAAUCCAAUUAAGCCUCUGGACCCAGUUGCCAAUUUGCAGAGAACACAAUGGACAGAGGAAUCUGCUGAACUGUAUCGUGAGUCAACAAUCAGCAAUGUCCAAACUGGGAGAAAUUGGGCAGUUACAGAGCCUGGGCUCCCUUGCAGAUAAAGCGUGAGGAAAGAGGGUGCUGGUACAGAGAACUUCAAAGUUAAAGAGAUUCAAAGACAUAAAACAUAAAAACACAAGGAACUGAGUACUACCAACAGUGGCUCUCAAACUUUAAGCACGCAUGAGAAUUACAUGCUAGAUUUCUUUGGUUGGUUUUUCAAGAUGGGGUUUCUCUGUGUAAUAGUCCUGGACUUGCUUUGUAACCAGGCUGGCCUCGAACUCAGGAAGAUCCGCCUACCUCUGCCUCCUGAGUGCUGAGAUUACAGACGUGCACCACCGCACCAGGCUUAGAUUUCUUAGCAUAUGAGUUUCUGGGCGCCACAUUCCACCCUGUGGAGUUCCUUGACAGAGCCUGAGGACUUGUACUGCUAUCAAAAUACAAGGUCAUGCUCCAGGACAGUCGUUUCUUAGGAAGGGAGAAUAUGAUAAGGCCAGGAUACACGCAGGGGGGUCUGGAGUACCUAGCCAAGUGCUUGUUCUUGAUUU
Long non-coding RNA from Meriones unguiculatus (Mongolian gerbil), 4453 nucleotides. RefSeq lists it as uncharacterized. The record is from RefSeq and is a predicted model, not a curated record. NCBI's taxonomy places the organism in Eukaryota, Metazoa, Chordata, Mammalia, Rodentia, Muridae. The transcript is spliced from 3 exons.